GCUGGAGUAACUCAGUAGGUAGAGUACUUGCAUGGUAAGCAAGAAGUCGGCAGUUCAAGUCUGCUCUUCAGCU
Molecule: transfer RNA, 73 nt
Filed under: Vallitalea guaymasensis
Lineage: Bacteria; Bacillati; Bacillota; Clostridia; Lachnospirales; Vallitaleaceae
Also listed under: 2 other names
Rfam family: tRNA
About the family: Transfer RNA (tRNA) molecules are approximately 80 nucleotides in length. Their secondary structure includes four short double-helical elements and three loops (D, anti-codon, and T loops). Further hydrogen bonds mediate the characteristic L-shaped molecular structure. tRNAs have two regions of fundamental functional importance: the anti-codon, which is responsible for specific mRNA codon recognition, and the 3' end, to which the tRNAs corresponding amino acid is attached (by aminoacyl-tRNA synthetases). tRNAs cope with the degeneracy of the genetic code in two manners: having more than one tRNA (with a specific anti-codon) for a particular amino acid; and 'wobble' base-pairing, i.e. permitting non-standard base-pairing at the 3rd anti-codon position.
Source: Rfam by way of RNAcentral